Small nuclear RNA from Heterocephalus glaber (naked mole-rat), 113 nucleotides. The record is from Ensembl. NCBI's taxonomy places the organism in Eukaryota, Metazoa, Chordata, Mammalia, Rodentia, Bathyergidae.
GUGCUCGCUUUGGCAGCACCUAUAGUAAAAUUGGAACAAUACAGAUACAGAGAAGAUUAGCAUGGCCCCUGUGCAAGGAUGACACACAAAUUCGUGAAGAGCGCCAUAUUUUU